Molecule: non-coding RNA, 1067 nt
Organism: Drosophila virilis
Lineage: Eukaryota; Metazoa; Arthropoda; Insecta; Diptera; Drosophilidae
Source: RefSeq, a predicted model, not a curated record
UUCAUCGCACGCGGUAUCGAUGCUUCACGGCAACUUUUAAUUGCCUGUAUUUAAAAAUAAUACAAACAAAUGGAAUCCCGAUAAAACUACAUCGAUGGCUCGACACUGAGGACCCAGAUAGGGUUUGGCCAACAUAGCGGUAAUCUGUUGCAAACGGGCGACAAGAAAACCGGGCAUAGAAACUUGCACGCACAUAUACAUAUGUAUAUUAUAUUUGUGUAUAAGGACUACACUAGACAUUACCACGUGAUACAAUUUGAGACGAACAAAAAGCAAAAUAGUUACCGAAACGUUGAUCAAUAACGAAUCAGGUUGGUUAUGGGAAAGGAGCGACGCAAACUCAUGCACUUCUCACGAUCGAUGAACAGGGCGUUGACCUUGUUGCGCAGAUCCUCCUCCAGGAUGCAGCGGGUCUUGAGCAAAGAUUGAUGGGUGGCCUCCGCCUGCUGCAGCUUAUGAUGCAGCACAUCGACAGUGCCUUGCAAGUCCUGCACCUCCAGCACUAGGCGAUCGUGGGCUGUGUCCCUGGACGAGAAUGCGGCAGGUUAGCGCGAGCAUACAAAGAUAAACAUGAAUUAAUUCACGACUUACUUGCACAGCUCCAUGCCCUCACGAUGAGAGCGCGCCUCGAGGCGAGUCUGCGCCACCUUAAGCGGAUUCGAUUUGUCCUGUAUGGCCUUCUGCAGCAGAAAUAGAUGUUUCUCCAUAUCGAACAGCUCCUGCUGCACUUUCUGUAGAUGCAUCUGUACGCGACUCUUUGCGCCGGCCAUUUCCUGGGCGCGCCUAUCCAGCGCAUUGUUCGUAUUGUUCCAGAAGUCCCAGACAGAGGAGGCAACGGCAUUGACCACGUUCUGUGAGUCGCUGCGCAGCUGCGACAACUUGGCCCGUUCCGCCUGCGAACUGAAUUCGUAUGCCAAACAAUUUGAUGGGCAUUAUAUUGGGGAAAUGGAAAACUAAAUGUAACCUCUUACCGCUUGACAUGCUCACUGCUGGCCAGUGCCCAGGAGUCCUGGGUGCUGACAGUCGGAUCGUACUUCUCGAUGCCACCGAAAUAGGUGAUGCCGCGA